This 405-nucleotide ribosomal RNA is filed under the name Karumballichirus karumba. RNAcentral's name for it is "partial small subunit ribosomal RNA". It matches the Rfam family "Microsporidia small subunit ribosomal RNA", at positions 753 to 1280 of the family's 1311-position model. Lineage: Eukaryota; Metazoa; Arthropoda; Malacostraca; Decapoda; Callichiridae. The record is from RNAcentral.
AUUUUUAAUUCUAACCUUAAACACCAAAAUACUAAGAGCUAUAUCCUUCAAAAUUAAAGGAUUUGGCGGUGAUUUAGUCCAGUUAGAGGAACCUGUUUGGUAAACGAUAAACCACGAAAAAUCUUACCUAUUCCUAUAGUUUGUAUACCGUCAUUAUUAGAUGACUUUUAGUGAAAAAGUCAUUCCAAUAAAUUAUUUUUAAUAUAUUAGAUCAAGGUGCAGCCCAUGAAUAGGUCAUAAUGGGUUACAAUAAUACUUACUUAGUACGAAUACAAAUUGGAAUCAAUUUAUUGAAGGAGGAUUUAAUAGUAAAAUUGGUUUAAUAAGCCAAUUUGAUAGAGGACCUAAAUUGAGUACAUAUCGCCCGUCGCUUUCAUCUCACAAAUGAAAUAAGUCGUAACAUAG